This 253-nucleotide ribosomal RNA is filed under the name uncultured prokaryote. Its description in RNAcentral is "partial 16S ribosomal RNA". It matches the Rfam family "Bacterial small subunit ribosomal RNA", at positions 524 to 776 of the family's 1533-position model. The record is from RNAcentral.
UACGUAGGUGGCGAGCGUUGUUCGGAUUUAUUGGGCGUAAAGGGUUCGUAGGUGGUUCGCUAAGUCUGACGUGAAAUCCCGUGGCUCAACCACGGAACUGCGUUGGAGACUGGCGGACUUGAGUAUUGGAGAGGUAAGCGGAAUACCAGGUGUAGCGGUGGAAUGCGUAGAUAUCUGGUAGAACACCGAGAGCGAAGGCAGCUUGCUGGACAAUAACUGACACUGAGGAACGAAAGCGUGGGGAGCAAACAGG